UACGUAGGGGGCAAGCGUUGUCCGGAAUCAUUGGGCGUAAAGCGCGUGUAGGCGGCUUGGUGAGUCCGCUCUGAAAGCCCGGGGCUCAACCCCGGGAGGCGGGUGGAUACUGCUGGGCUCGAGUCCGGAAGAGGAGUGUGGAAUUCCUGGUGUAGCGGUGAAAUGCGCAGAUAUCAGGAGGAACACCAAUGGCGAAGGCAGCACUCUGGGACGGUACUGACGCUGAGACGCGAAAGCGUGGGGAGCAAACAGG
Molecule: ribosomal RNA, 253 nt
Filed under: uncultured bacterium
Lineage: Bacteria
Description: partial 16S ribosomal RNA
Rfam family: Bacterial small subunit ribosomal RNA
Source: RNAcentral